GAGGAAAGUCCGGGCUCUAUUUAUAAAUGUAUAGCUUUAUAAAAUAAAGUGUAGGUAACUAUAAGGAUCGUGCCACAGAAAUAUACCGCCUAAGUUUUUUAGGUAAGGGUGCAAUGGUGCGGUAAGAGCGUACCAGAAGUAUUGUUAAAGUAUUUGCUAGGUAAACCCCAUAUUAGAGCAAAGAGGUUAUUCGAUAUAUAUCAGUGUUAUUUUUAUAAGUUGUAUAUACUUUUUAUUUCAUUAAUUAUUAAUACUGCAUAAAGUAUUUAGUUUUACUUAAGAUUAACAAUUACCCUUUUUAUGUGAAGCUAAUUGAAUUAGGUCAUUGGAAAGAACUAAACCCGGCUUAU
Molecule: RNase P RNA, 350 nt
Filed under: Xiphosiphonia pinnulata
Lineage: Eukaryota; Rhodophyta; Florideophyceae; Ceramiales; Rhodomelaceae
Description: Ribonuclease P RNA
Rfam family: Bacterial RNase P class A (bases 2-178)
About the family: Ribonuclease P (RNase P) is a ubiquitous endoribonuclease, found in archaea, bacteria and eukarya as well as chloroplasts and mitochondria.
Source: RNAcentral